This 253-nucleotide ribosomal RNA is filed under the name uncultured bacterium. RNAcentral's name for it is "partial 16S ribosomal RNA". It matches the Rfam family "Bacterial small subunit ribosomal RNA", at positions 524 to 776 of the family's 1533-position model. The record is from RNAcentral.
GACGUAGGGCGCGAGCGUUGUCCGGAUUUAUUGGGCGUAAAGAGCUCGUAGGCGGCUUGUCGCGUCGUCCGUGAAAACCCACAGCUCAACUGUGGGCUUGCGGUCGAUACGGGCAGGCUAGAGUUCGGUAGGGGAGACUGGAAUUCCUGGUGUAGCGGUGAAAUGCGCAGAUAUCAGGAAGAACACCGAUGGCGAAGGCAGAUCUCUGGGCCGUAACUGACGCUGAGGAGCGAAAGCAUGGGGAGCGAACAGG